RNAcentral lists this small RNA (27 nucleotides) under Bombyx mori (domestic silkworm). RNAcentral's name for it is "ovarian small RNA-35826". Lineage: Eukaryota; Metazoa; Arthropoda; Insecta; Lepidoptera; Bombycidae. The record is from RNAcentral.
UGUCUGUCACGUUGUGAUGCUAGCCUG